UCUUUGACCACAUCUCCCUCUACUUUCUUAUUUUUCUAAAGCAAAAUCGAUAAUAAUCAAUAGCACUUGAAAGAAUUGGUCUCUUUCAAUUUAAUCAGAAAUUUUAAUUUAAUUUAAUCAAAAAAUUAUGGGUUUGAAUUUAAUUUUGGAUAUUCAACAAUUUAAAUUUCUUAAAAAUAAUUACUAUCUAUUAGAGUUCUACAAAAAUU
RNAcentral lists this long non-coding RNA (209 nucleotides) under Lathyrus oleraceus (garden pea). Its description in RNAcentral is "Pisum sativum (pea) long non-coding RNA (PSAT_LNC003362)". The record is from RNAcentral. Lineage: Eukaryota; Viridiplantae; Streptophyta; Magnoliopsida; Fabales; Fabaceae.